GAUGAACGCUGGCGGCGUGCCUAAUACAUGCAAGUCGAGCGAACGGACGAGAAGCUUGCUUCUCUGAUGUUAGCGGCGGACGGGUGAGUAACACGUGGAUAACCUACCUAUAAGACUGGGAUAACUUCGGGAAACCGGAGCUAAUACCGGAUAAUAUUUUGAACCGCAUGGUUCAAAAGUGAAAGACGGUCUUGCUGUCACUUAUAGAUGGAUCCGCGCUGCAUUAGCUAGUUGGUAAGGUAACGGCUUACCAAGGCAACGAUGCAUAGCCGACCUGAGAGGGUGAUCGGCCACACUGGAACUGAGACACGGUCCAGACUCCGACGGGAGGCAGCAGUAGGGAAUCUUCCGCAAUGGGCGAAAGCCUGACGGAGCAACGCCGCGUGAGUGAGGAAGGUCUUCGGAUCGUAAAACUCUGUUAUUAGGGAAGAACAUAUGUGUAAGUCACUGUGCACAUCUUGACGGUACCUAAGCAGAGAGCCACGGCUAACUACGG
This 496-nucleotide ribosomal RNA is filed under the name uncultured bacterium. Its description in RNAcentral is "partial 16S ribosomal RNA". It matches the Rfam family "Bacterial small subunit ribosomal RNA", at positions 28 to 506 of the family's 1533-position model. The record is from RNAcentral.